UGUGAUGGACCCUGCUCUGAUGUGCACGUCAACAGGUGGACAGUAAACUAUGUCCAAUCAAA
This 62-nucleotide non-coding RNA is filed under the name unclassified sequences. RNAcentral's name for it is "freshwater-1 RNA". It matches the Rfam family "freshwater-1 RNA". From Rfam's summary of the family: Freshwater and estuary metagenome. Environment (Freshwater) The record is from Rfam by way of RNAcentral.